Molecule: ribosomal RNA, 1373 nt
Filed under: uncultured bacterium
Lineage: Bacteria
Description: bacterial SSU rRNA
Rfam family: Bacterial small subunit ribosomal RNA
Source: RNAcentral
GAUGAACGCUGGCGGCGUGCCUAAUACAUGCAAGUCGAGCGAACAGAUAAGGAGCUUGCUCCUUUGAAGUUAGCGGCGGACGGGUGAGUAACACGUGGGUAACCUACCUAUAAGACUGGGAUAACUUCGGGAAACCGGAGCUAAUACCGGAUAACAUUUAGAACCGCAUGGUUCUAAAGUGAAAGAUGGUUUUGCUAUCACUUAUAGAUGGACCCGCGCCGUAUUAGCUAGUUGGUAAGGUAACGGCUUACCAAGGCGACGAUACGUAGCCGACCUGAGAGGGUGAUCGGCCACACUGGAACUGAGACACGGUCCAGACUCCUACGGGAGGCAGCAGUAGGGAAUCUUCCGCAAUGGGCGAAAGCCUGACGGAGCAACGCCGCGUGAGUGAUGGAGGGUUUCGGCUCGUAAAACUCUGUUAUUAGGGAAGAACAAAUGUGUAAGUAACUGUGCACAUCUUGACGGUACCUAAUCAGAAAGCCACGGCUAACUACGUGCCAGCAGCCGCGGUAAUACGUAGGUGGCAAGCGUUAUCCGGAAUUAUUGGGCGUAAAGCGCGCGUAGGCGGUUUCUUAAGUCUGAUGUGAAAGCCCACGGCUCAACCGUGGAGGGUCAUUGGAAACUGGGAAACUUGAGUGCAGAAGAGGAAAGUGGAAUUCCAUGUGUAGCGGUGAAAUGCGCAGAGAUAUGGAGGAACACCAGUGGCGAAGGCGACUUUCUGGUCUGUAACUGACGCUGAUGUGCGAAAAGCGUGGGGAUCAAACAGGAUUAGAUACCCUGGUAGUCCACGCCGUAAACGAUGAGUGCUAAGUGUUAGGGGGUUUCCGCCCCUUAGUGCUGCAGCUAACGCAUUAAGCACUCCGCCUGGGGAGUACGACCGCAAGGUUGAAACUCAAAGGAAUUGACGGGGACCCGCGCAAGCGGUGGAGCAUGUGGUUUAAUUCGAAGCAACGCGAAGAACCUUACCAAAUCUUGACAUCCUUUGAAAACUCUAGAGAUAGAGCCUUCCCCUUCGGGGGACAAAGUGACAGGUGGUGCAUGGUUGUCGUCAGCUCGUGUCGUGAGAUGUUGGGUUAAGUCCCGCAACGAGCGCAACCCUUAAGCUUAGUUGCCAUCAUUAAGUUGGGCACUCUAGGUUGACUGCCGGUGACAAACCGGAGGAAGGUGGGGAUGACGUCAAAUCAUCAUGCCCCUUAUGAUUUGGGCUACACACGUGCUACAAUGGACAAUACAAAGGGCAGCUAAACCGCGAGGUCAUGCAAAUCCCAUAAAGUUGUUCUCAGUUCGGAUUGUAGUCUGCAACUCGACUACAUGAAGCUGGAAUCGCUAGUAAUCGUAGAUCAGCAUGCUACGGUGAAUACGUUCCCGGGUCU